GGCAGAUAGAUUUUGACCUGAUAAACAAUUCAACCCAAUGUCAGAUUUGCUCUAAAUGCUUUGGUUUUUGAGUUAUAAGCCAAAAACUGCAUUUUACCCCUAUGUUUUAUUUUUAGCUAUGGCAGCCAUCUUGGUUGGAUGGCCAGGUCACCGGACACAUUUUUUAAACUAGAUACCCCAAAGAUGAUUGUGGCCAAGUUUGGAAUAAUUUGGCCCAGUAGUUUCAGAGGAGAAGAUUUUUGUAAAAGAUUACUAAGAUUUACGAAAAAUGGUUAAAAAUUGACUAUAAAGGGCAAUAACUCCUAAAGGGGUCAACUGACCAUUUCGGUCAAGUUCACUUAUUUGUAAAUCUUACUUUGCUGAACAUUAUUGCUGUUUACAGUUUAUCUCUAUCUAUAAUAAUAUUCAAGAUAAUAACCAAAAACAGUAAAAUUUCCUUAAAAUUACCAAUUUAGGGGCAGCAACCCAACAACGGGUUGUCGGAUUCAUCUGAAAAUUUGAGGGCAGACAGAUCUUGACCUGAUAAACAA
This 530-nucleotide long non-coding RNA is filed under the name Mytilus galloprovincialis (Mediterranean mussel). Lineage: Eukaryota; Metazoa; Mollusca; Bivalvia; Mytilida; Mytilidae. The record is from RNAcentral.